RNAcentral lists this ribosomal RNA (201 nucleotides) under Triticum aestivum (bread wheat). RNAcentral describes it as "partial small subunit ribosomal RNA". Lineage: Eukaryota; Viridiplantae; Streptophyta; Magnoliopsida; Poales; Poaceae. The record is from RNAcentral.
AAUGCUUCUCCGGCCUCUCUGCGGCGCGGUCUGGCCUCCAUUGCCACCCUCAUUGCCUGGUCACUCUGGCAACACCACAAGGCUGCAGUCUUCGACAAGAUCAUGCCCUCAACCUCGGACCUUGUUCGCGCGAUCAUGGAGGAAGCUCGCUCCUGGGCAGCUGCCGGAGCCAAAGGAGUUGCAUUAAUCUCUGUAACUUGA